UGAGGAAUAUUGGUCAAUGGACGCAAGUCUGAACCAGCCAUGCCGCGUGCAGGAUGACGGCUCUAUGAGUUGUAAACUGCUUUUGUACGAGGGUAAACUCGGGUACGUGUACCCGCUUGAAAGUAUCGUACGAAUAAGGAUCGGCUAACUCCGUGCCAGCAGCCGCGGUAAUACGGAGGAUCCGAGCGUUAUCCGGAUUUAUUGGGUUUAAAGGGUGCGUAGGCGGUUUGGUAAGUUAGAGGUGAAAACUCGGAGCUCAACUCCGAACGUGCCUCUAAUACUGCUAAACUAGAGAGUAGUUGCUGUUGGCGGAAUGUGUAGUGUAGCGGUGAAAUGCUUAGAGAUUACACAGAACACCGAUUGCGAAGGCAGCUAACAAAGCUAUAUCUGACGUUGAGGCACGAAAGCGUGGGGAGCAAACAGG
RNAcentral lists this ribosomal RNA (424 nucleotides) under uncultured bacterium. RNAcentral describes it as "bacterial SSU rRNA". It matches the Rfam family "Bacterial small subunit ribosomal RNA", at positions 355 to 776 of the family's 1533-position model. The record is from RNAcentral.